GAUGAACGCUGGCGGCGUGCCUAAUACAUGCAAGUCGAGCGAACGGACGAGAAGCUUGCUUCUCUGAUGUUAGCGGCGGACGGGUGAGUAACACGUGGAUAACCUACCUAUAAGACUGGGAUAACUUCGGGAAACCGGAGCUAAUACCGGAUAAUAUUUUGAACCGCAUGGUUCAAAAGUGAAAGACGGUCUUGCUGUCACUUAUAGAUGGAUCCGCGCUGCAUUAGCUAGUUGGUAAGGUAACGGCUUACCAAGGCAACGAUGCAUAGCCGACCUGAGAGGGUGAUCGGCCACACUGGAACUGGGACACGGUCCAGACUCCUACGGGAGGCAGCAGUAGGGAAUCUUCCGCAAUAGGCAAAAGCCUGACGGAGCAACGCCGCGUGAGUGAUGAAGGUCUUCGGAUCGUAAAACUCUGUUAUUAGGGAAGAACAUAUGUGUAAGUAACUGUGCACAUCUUGACGGUACCUAAUCAGAAAGCCACGGCUAACUACGUG
This 497-nucleotide ribosomal RNA is filed under the name uncultured bacterium. Its description in RNAcentral is "partial 16S ribosomal RNA". It matches the Rfam family "Bacterial small subunit ribosomal RNA", at positions 28 to 507 of the family's 1533-position model. The record is from RNAcentral.